AUUGAACGCUGGCGGCAUGCCUUACACAUGCAAGUCGAACGGUAACAGGUCUUCGGAUGCUGACGAGUGGCGAACGGGUGAGUAAUACAUCGGAACGUGCCCGAUCGUGGGGGAUAACGAAGCGAAAGCUUUGCUAAUACCGCAUAAGAUCUACGGAUGAAAGCAGGGGACCGCAAGGCCUUGCGCGAACGGAGCGGCCGAUGGCAGAUUAGGUAGUUGGUGGGAUAAAAGCUUACCAAGCCGACGAUCUGUAGCUGGUCUGAGAGGACGACCAGCAACACUGGGACUGAGACACGGCCAAGACUCCUACGGGAGGCAGCAGUGGGGAAUUUUGGACAAUGGGCGAAAGCCUGAUCCAGCCAUGCCGCGUGCAGGAUGAAGGCCUUCGGGUUGUAAACUGCUUUUGUACGGAACGAAAAGACUCUUUCUAAUAAAGAGGGUCCAUGACGGUACCGUAAGAAUAAGCACCGGCUAACUACGUGCCAGCAGCCGCCGUAA
Molecule: ribosomal RNA, 498 nt
Filed under: uncultured bacterium
Lineage: Bacteria
Description: partial 16S ribosomal RNA
Rfam family: Bacterial small subunit ribosomal RNA
Source: RNAcentral